RNAcentral lists this ribosomal RNA (373 nucleotides) under uncultured organism. RNAcentral describes it as "partial 16S ribosomal RNA". It matches the Rfam family "Bacterial small subunit ribosomal RNA", at positions 527 to 896 of the family's 1533-position model. The record is from RNAcentral.
GUAGGUGGCAAGCGUUGUCCGGAAUUAUUGGGCGUAAAGCGCGCGCAGGGCGGUCCUUUAAGUCUGAUGUGAAAGCCCACGGCUCAACCGUGGAGGGUCAUUGGAAACUGGGGGACUUGAGUACAGAAGAGGAAAGCGGAAUUCCAAGUGUAGCGGUGAAAUGCGUAGAGAUUUGGAGGAACACCAGUGGCGAAGGCGGCUUUCUGGUCUGUAACUGACGCUGAGGCGCGAAAGCGUGGGGAGCAAACAGGAUUAGAUACCCUGGUAGUCCACGCCGUAAACGAUGAGUGCUAAGUGUUAGGGGGUUUCCGCCCCUUAGUGCUGCAGCUAACGCAUUAAGCACUCCGCCUGGGGAGUACGGCCGCAAAGGCUG